This 73-nucleotide transfer RNA is filed under the name Paramuricea clavata. It matches the Rfam family "tRNA". From Rfam's summary of the family: Transfer RNA (tRNA) molecules are approximately 80 nucleotides in length. Their secondary structure includes four short double-helical elements and three loops (D, anti-codon, and T loops). The record is from Rfam by way of RNAcentral. Lineage: Eukaryota; Metazoa; Cnidaria; Anthozoa; Malacalcyonacea; Plexauridae.
GUCCACGUAGCGCAGUGGGCAGAGCAUUGGGCUAGUAUUCCAAAGGUCGUAGGUUCGACUCCCACCGUGGCCA